This 137-nucleotide ribosomal RNA is filed under the name Hyphomicrobium sp. RNAcentral describes it as "partial 16S ribosomal RNA". It matches the Rfam family "Bacterial small subunit ribosomal RNA", at positions 1 to 151 of the family's 1533-position model. The record is from RNAcentral. Lineage: Bacteria; Pseudomonadati; Pseudomonadota; Alphaproteobacteria; Hyphomicrobiales; Hyphomicrobiaceae.
CAACUUGAGAGUUUGAUCCUGGCUCAGAACGAACGCUGGCGGCAGGCCUAACACAUGCAAGUCGAACGCUCCGCAAGGAGAGUGGCAGACGGGUGAGUAACACGUGGGAAUCUUCCUAUCGGUACGGAAUAGCUCAG